RNAcentral lists this unclassified non-coding RNA (307 nucleotides) under Bombus terrestris (buff-tailed bumblebee). RNAcentral's name for it is "misc RNA ENSBTSG00005038627.1". The record is from RNAcentral. Lineage: Eukaryota; Metazoa; Arthropoda; Insecta; Hymenoptera; Apidae.
AAUGCUAAAGUGUGUCGUUUCGUAGAUGUCAGUAACAAAAAGCUGGCAAAAAUUUCGCUUGUUUUUCCUGGAUCAAGCGUGUAUCAGAUGGCGUUCAAAGCUUACUUUUCAUGGAAGACAUGUGGGAUAUUCAGAUUCGUGUUUUAUCGUUGGUAUUUUACUCUUGCGGUAGAGAAAGGUGCGAUUGUUCUUAUCCAGGAGGGAUAAUGGAGCGCGCUGAUUCUGGGUUUCAUCGAUCAGAAUCUCCCGCAUUGGGAAUAAUGUAUGUAACGGCCACCAGAUGGAGCAUAGAUGGCACUUAUUUACG